CCUACGGGGGGCAGCAGUGGGGAAUAUUGGACAAUGGGCGAAAGCCUGAUCCAGCCAUGCCGCGUGUGUGAAGAAGGCCUUCGGGUUGUAAAGCACUUUCAGUGGGGAAGAAAGCCUUGGGGCUAAUACCCUCGAGGAAGGACAUCACCCACAGAAGAAGCACCGGCUAACUCCGUGCCAGCAGCCGCGGUAAUACGGAGGGUGCGAGCGUUAAUCGGAAUUACUGGGCGUAAAGCGCGCGUAGGCGGUCUGAUAAGCCGGUUGUGAAAGCCCCGGGCUCAACCUGGGAACGGCAUCCGGAACUGUCAGGGUAGAGUGCAGGAGAGGAAGGUAGAAUUCCCGGUGUAGCGGUGAAAUGCGUAGAGAUCGGGAGGAAUACCAGUGGCGAAGGCGGCCUUCUGGACUGACACUGACGCUGAGGUGCGAAAGCGUGGGUAGCAAACAGGAUUAGAUACCCGGUAGUC
Molecule: ribosomal RNA, 464 nt
Filed under: Vreelandella stevensii
Lineage: Bacteria; Pseudomonadati; Pseudomonadota; Gammaproteobacteria; Oceanospirillales; Halomonadaceae
Description: partial 16S ribosomal RNA
Rfam family: Bacterial small subunit ribosomal RNA
Source: RNAcentral